Molecule: long non-coding RNA, 227 nt
Filed under: Vigna radiata
Lineage: Eukaryota; Viridiplantae; Streptophyta; Magnoliopsida; Fabales; Fabaceae
Description: long non-coding RNA (VRAD_LNC006861)
Source: RNAcentral
GCGGAGUGAUUAUUACAAUAAGACUAGGUGCACUAUAUUAUGAACAGUUACACGAACCAGAGAUCGGUUAAGUUGAUUUGACAGAAGGUUGACCGUUUAUCGACACAAGAAUUUUUUAUAAGAAGUAGUGUUUAGGGACACAUGCAAAAAGUAGUCGAAUGUAUUAGAAUGGAAGUCGACAAAGAAUUAUGAAAUUCAUUUUCAAACAGUUCAAUCAAUCAAAUUAG